ACAACCUCAACUCCUUUUCAAUCGUGUUAUGCGUGAGGGAAGGGGUUGGAUUUGAGCAUAUCCACCGGGCCACAUUGGCUUGAGGGAUGCUUGAAAUGGAGGUUCGGCCGACAGUGCCUGGGCUACAAGCAUUUCAUACUUAAUCCCGUUAAACGGAUUAUAUCCUUUGCUGCAGCCAACAUACAGGGUAACUGUCAGUAACCGACUGAUGCAGGAAAGUUGAGAUGGGUUCUUCGGAUCCUAGCCUCUUCUAA
RNAcentral lists this unclassified non-coding RNA (254 nucleotides) under uncultured Mortierella. Its description in RNAcentral is "partial internal transcribed spacer 2". Lineage: Eukaryota; Fungi; Mortierellomycota; Mortierellomycetes; Mortierellales; Mortierellaceae. The record is from RNAcentral.